GACGAACGCUGGCGGCGUGCCUAAUACAUGCAAGUAGAACGCUGAAGGAGGAGCUUGCUUCUCUGGAUGAGUUGCGAACGGGUGAGUAACGCGUAGGUAACCUGCCUGGUAGCGGGGGAUAACUAUUGGAAACGAUAGCUAAUACCGCAUAAUAGUAGAUGUUGCAUGACAUUUGCUUAAAAGGUGCAAUUGCAUCACUACCAGAUGGACCUGCGUUGUAUUAGCUAGUUGGUGAGGUAACGGCUCACCAAGGCAACGAUACAUAGCCGACCUGAGAGGGUGAUCAGCCACACUGGGACUGAGACACGGCCCAGACUCCUACGGGAGGCAGCAGUAGGGAAUCUUCGGCAAUGGACGGAAGGCUGACCGAGCAACGCCGCGUGAGUGAAGAAGGUUUUCGGAUCGUAAAGCUCUGUUGUAAGAGAAGAACGAGUGUGAGAGUGGAAAGUUCACACUGUGACGGUAUCUUACCAGAAAGGGACGGCUAACUACGUG
Molecule: ribosomal RNA, 495 nt
Filed under: uncultured bacterium
Lineage: Bacteria
Description: partial 16S ribosomal RNA
Rfam family: Bacterial small subunit ribosomal RNA
Source: RNAcentral